RNAcentral lists this unclassified non-coding RNA (1517 nucleotides) under uncultured Chlamydomonadales. RNAcentral's name for it is "sequence contains 18S rRNA gene, ITS1, 5.8S rRNA gene, ITS2, 28S rRNA gene". The stretch from base 592 to 1517 matches the Rfam family "Eukaryotic large subunit ribosomal RNA", at positions 1 to 961 of the family's 3401-position model. The record is from RNAcentral. Lineage: Eukaryota; Viridiplantae; Chlorophyta; Chlorophyceae; Chlamydomonadales.
GGAAGGAUCAUUGAAUCUAUCACAAUCCACACCAAACGUGAACCAACACUGUUGGCCCGAGGCCGCAAGGCUUCGCGAGUGCCGCUCAAGCUUCUGCUUGGGUGCGUGCUCGGUCUUGGGUGACUUCGGUCGCCUGGGUCGGUCUUAUAAUAACCAACCAACACCAAACCUAUCCUUCUAAAGUAGAGCAUGCAACUGGCUUAGAGCUGUUGCAUACCAACCAAGACAACUCUCAACAACGGAUAUCUUGGCUCUCGCAACGAUGAAGAACGCAGCGAAAUGCGAUACGUAGUGUGAAUUGCAGAAAUACGUGAAUCAUCGAAUCUUUGAACGCAUAUUGCGCCCGAGGCUUCGGCCAAGGGCAUGUCUGCCUCAGCGUCGGGUUAAUACUCACCCAACCAAUCCCUGGUUGAGUGGAUCUGGCUUUCCCAGGCCUCGUGUCUGGGUUUGCUGAAGCAUAGAGGUUGAUGCAUGGACCCGCUAAGGGCCGCAACUGGGUAGGCAAUCUAUUGCUAAUGCUUUAGUUGUUGGCUUGGGACUGUGCUGGUCGACCCGAAAUCAGGAAGAGCUUCGGCUCUAAACCCAUUUUCUCGACCUGAGCUCAGGCAAGAACACCCGCUGAACUUAAGCAUAUCAAUAAGCGGAGGAAAAGAAACUAACCAGGAUUCCCCUAGUAACGGCGAGCGAACCGGGAAUAGCCCAACUUGAAAAUCUCCCUCUGGAGAAUUGUAGUCUAUAGAAGCGCCCUCUGUAGCGAGCAGAGCCCAAGUCCGCUGGAAGGCGGCGUCAGAGAGGGUGAGAACCCCGUCGGCUCUGUCUUAGCUGCUCCACGAGGUGCUUUCCACGAGUCGGGUUGUUUGGGAAUGCAGCCCUAAUUUGGAGGUAAAUCCCUUCUAAGGCUAAAUACUGGCGAGAGACCGAUAGCGAACAAGUACCGUGAGGGAAAGAUGAAAAGAACUUUGAAAAGAGAGUUAAAAAGUGCUUGAAAUUGUUGAGGGGGAAGCGUUUGGAAGCCGUGUGUGCGCCCAGGCUUAUGCGCCUUUAACGAGUCGCUGUAUGUGCUGGGUGCUGGUCAGCUCGGGUUUCCUGGGCGGGAUAACAGCAGGGGUUGAUACCCUGCCGAUGCCGCCCGGGGGACCAAGGCGUGAUGGUCGCUCUGUCCUUCGGGAACUGCGUCCACAAGGAGCUGGCAGAAGGCUUUCAACCGGCCCGUCUUGAAACACGGACCAAGGAGUCUAACAUGUAUGCGAGUUGGCGGGUGGUAAACCCGUAAGCGCAAGUAACCUGACUGGUGGGAUGGCUUCGAGCCUGCACCAUCGACCGACCAUGAGCUUCUGCGAAAGGUUUGAGUGCGAGCAUACCUGUUGGGACCCGAAAGAUGGUGAACUAUGCCUGAGCAGGGUGAAGCCAGAGGAAACUCUGGUGGAGGCUCGUAGAUGUGCUGACGUGCAAAUCGCUUUUCGGACUUGGGUAUAGGGGCGAAAGACUAAUCGAACCAUCUAGUAGCUGGUUCCCUC